CAGCAGCCGCGGUAAUACGAAGGGGGCUAGCGUUGCUCGGAAUGACUGGGCGUAAAGGGCGCGUAGGCGGUUUAUACAGUCAGAUGUGAAAUUCCUGGGCUCAACCUGGGGACUGCAUUUGAUACGUAUGGACUUGAGUGGAGGAGAGGGUCGUGGAAUUUCCAGUGUAGAGGUGAAAUUCGUAGAUAUUGGAAAGAACACCGGUGGCGAAGGCGGCGACCUGGCCUUUAACUGACGCUGAGGCGCGAAAGCGUGGGGAGCAAACAGGAUUAGAUACCCCCGUAGUCCCUGUCUCUUAUAC
This 301-nucleotide ribosomal RNA is filed under the name uncultured bacterium. Its description in RNAcentral is "partial 16S ribosomal RNA". It matches the Rfam family "Bacterial small subunit ribosomal RNA", at positions 509 to 807 of the family's 1533-position model. The record is from RNAcentral.